RNAcentral lists this ribosomal RNA (326 nucleotides) under uncultured eukaryote. RNAcentral describes it as "partial 18S ribosomal RNA". It matches the Rfam family "Eukaryotic small subunit ribosomal RNA", at positions 1470 to 1796 of the family's 1831-position model. The record is from RNAcentral.
CCCUUAGAUGUUCUGGGCUGCACGCGCGCUACACUGAUGCACUCAACGAGUUUACGACCUUGCCCGAUAGGGUUGGGUAAUCUUUUUAAAAUGCAUCGUGAUGGGGAUAGAUUAUUGCAAUUAUUAAUCUUCAACGAGGAAUUCCUAGUAAGCGCGAGUCAUCAGCUCGUGCUGAUUACGUCCCUGCCCUUUGUACACACCGCCCGUCGCUCCUACCGAUUGAGUGCUCAGGUGAAUAAUUCGGACUGCAGCAAUGUUUGGAUCCCGAACGUUGCAGCGGAAAGUUUAGUGAACCUUAUCACUUAGAGGAAGGAGAAGUCGUANCA